RNAcentral lists this ribosomal RNA (468 nucleotides) under uncultured bacterium. RNAcentral's name for it is "partial 16S ribosomal RNA". It matches the Rfam family "Bacterial small subunit ribosomal RNA", at positions 28 to 507 of the family's 1533-position model. The record is from RNAcentral.
GACGAACGCUGGCGGCGUGCUUAACACAUGCAAGUCGAACGGAAAGGCCCUGCUUUUGUGGGGUGCUCGAGUGGCGAACGGGUGAGUAACACGUGAGUAACCUGCCCUUGACUUUGGUAUAACUUCAGGAAACUGGGGCUAAUACCGGAUAGCAGCUCCUGCUGCAUGGUGGGGGUUGGAAAGUUUCGGCGGUUGGGGAUGGACUCGCGGCUUAUCAGCUUGUUGGUGGGGUAGUGGCUUACCAAGGCUUUGACGGGUAGCCGGCAUGAGAGGGUGACCGGCCACAUUGGGACUGAGAGACGGACCAGACUCGUACGGGAGGCAGCAGUGGGGAAUAUUGCACAAUGGGAGGAAGCCUGAUGAAGCAACGCCGCGUGCGGGAUGACGGCCUUCGGGUUGUAAACAGCUUUCGCCUGUGACGAAGCGUGAGUGACGGUAAUGGGUAAAGAAGCACCGGCUAACUACGUG